AGAGUUUGAUCAUGGCUCAGAAUCAACGCUGGCGGCGUGCCUAACACAUGCAAGUCGAACGCGAAAGUGGAGCAAUCCAUGAGUAGAGUGGCAAACGGGUGAGUAACGCGUGGGCGACCUACCUUCGAGCGGGGGAUAACCUUCCGAAAGGAGGGCUAAUACCGCAUGACAUCCCGUGUUUAGAUACACGGAGAUCAAAGCCGGGGAUCGUAAGACCUGGCACUUGAAGAGGGGCCCGCGUCCGAUUAGCUAGUUGGUGAGGUAACGGCUCACCAAGGCUCCGAUCGGUAUCCGGCCUGAGAGGGCGGACGGACACACUGGAACUGAGACACGGUCCAGACUCCUACGGGAGGCAGCAGUGGGGAAUUGUUCACAAUGGGCGCAAGCCUGAUGACGCAACGCCGCGUGGAGGAUGAAGACCUUCGGGUCGUAAACUCCUUUCGACCGAGAUGAAUUCCUUGCGACCUAACACGUCGCGAGGGUGACAGUAUCGAGGGAAGAAGCCCCGGCUAACUCUGUGCCAGCAGCCGCGGUAAUACAGGGGGGGCAAGCGUUGUUCGGAAUUACUGGGCGUAAAGGGUUUGUAGGUGGCUUGUUAAGUCAGACGUGAAAUCCCUCAGCUUAACUGGGGAACUGCGUCUGAUACUGAUGAGCUUGAGUGCAGGAGAGGAACGCGGAAUUCCAGGUGUAGCGGUGAAAU
RNAcentral lists this ribosomal RNA (700 nucleotides) under uncultured bacterium. RNAcentral describes it as "bacterial SSU rRNA". It matches the Rfam family "Bacterial small subunit ribosomal RNA", at positions 8 to 687 of the family's 1533-position model. The record is from RNAcentral.